RNAcentral lists this ribosomal RNA (467 nucleotides) under uncultured bacterium. RNAcentral's name for it is "partial 16S ribosomal RNA". It matches the Rfam family "Bacterial small subunit ribosomal RNA", at positions 29 to 507 of the family's 1533-position model. The record is from RNAcentral.
ACGAACGCUGGCGGCGUGCUUAACACAUGCAAGUCGAACGGAAAGGCCCUGCUUUUGUGGGGUGCUCGAGUGGCGACCGGGUGAGUAACACGUGAGUAACCUGCCCUUGACUUUGGGAUAACUUCAGGAAACUGGGGCUAAUACCGGAUAGGAGCUCCUGCUGCCUGGUGGGGGUUGGAAAGUUUCGGCGGUUGGGGAUGGACUCGCGGCUUAUCAGCUUGUUGGUGGGGUAGUGGCUUACCAAGGCUUUGACGGGUAGCCGGCCUGAGAGGGUGACCGGCCACAUUGGGACUGAGAUACGGCCCAGACUCCUACGGGAGGCAGCAGUGGGGAAUAUUGCACAAUGGGCGGAAGCCUGAUGCAGCAACGCCGCGUGCGGGAUGACGGCCUUCGGGUUGUAAACCGCUUUCGCCUGUGACGAAGCGUGAGUGACGGUAAUGGGUAAAGAAGCACCGGCUAACUACGUG